RNAcentral lists this transfer RNA (93 nucleotides) under Chitinophagaceae bacterium. RNAcentral describes it as "tRNA-Ile". It matches the Rfam family "tRNA". From Rfam's summary of the family: Transfer RNA (tRNA) molecules are approximately 80 nucleotides in length. Their secondary structure includes four short double-helical elements and three loops (D, anti-codon, and T loops). The record is from RNAcentral. Lineage: Bacteria; Pseudomonadati; Bacteroidota; Chitinophagia; Chitinophagales; Chitinophagaceae.
GCUCUCAUAGCUCAGUUGGUAGAGCUUUGCUCUUAUGUCAGUUACGGCAUGCAUGUUAGGCAAAAGUCGGUGGUUCAAUUCCGCCUGAGAGUA